CAUCUACUACAAGAAAUCUAUAUGGAAGGCUAUGAAGAUGAAUCAGCCAGGAACUUGGCCUCAGGGAGCAGAGUCAUGCAAGAAGAGAGACGACGUGCUUAGAAACAAGAGGACUGGGCAGAAAAUAAUAAGCGGAAGGGCCCUGACCCUGCAGUCCAGGUGAGUGCUCAGUCACUCAUUCGUGUCCGACUCUUUGCGAACCUAUAGAGUAUAUCCCGUGGGCUCCUCUGUCCAUGGGGUUCUCCAGGCAAGAUUACUGGAUUGGCUUGUGCUGCCCUCCUCCAGGGGAUCUUCCCCACCCAGGGAUAGAACCAGCAUCUCUUAGGUCUCCUGCAUCAUCAGCUCUGUCAUUUAUUUGCAUAACUCCUUGGGAGAAGCAGUAAAGAGAGGUCUGUUACAUCUUCAAAACAGAGAAGGGCAUACUGUACUUUAUGUCUGCUUGUUCAAAGAGUUACAAUAUAUGCCACAUGGAAGAAAUGAUGCCAUCCUAAUUUUGAAGCUGAUCGCUAAACCGUCAGCCUUUUAUUACAGUCCAUACUAGAGAUUGCAAACUGGUGACCAAUGUGGGUAAACGUGGCCUGCAAGUGGGUUUUGUCUAGCCCACAGUGGUUUUAAACUCUCCCUCACCCCAAUUCUGAAGGAGAUCAGCCCUGGGAUUUCUUUGGAGGGAAUGAUGCUAAAGCUGAAACUCCAGUACUUUGGCCACCUCAUGCGAAGAGUUGACUCAUUGGAAAAGACUCUGAUGCUGGGAGGGAUUGGGGGCAGGAGGAGAAGGGGAUGACAGAGGAUGAGAUGGCUGGAUGGCAUCACUGACUCGAUGGACGUGAGUCUGAGUAAACUCCAGGAGUUGGUGAUGGACAGGGAGGCCUGGCGUGCUGUGAUUCAUGGGGUUGCGAAGAGUCGGACAUGACUGAGCGACUGAACUGAACUGGAUACCCCCAAUUUGUUGCUGGAGACACAAAGAUUUUACAUCUUUGAUUUCAGCUUUCUCUCUUUAAAAAAAAAAUUUAUUUAUGGCUGCGCUGGGUCUUCAUUACUAUUCUCGGGCUUUCUCGAGUUGUGGCGAGCGGGGGCUGCUCUCGGUGCGGUGCACGGCUUCUUAUUGCAGCGGCUCCUCUUGUUGCAGAGCGUGGGCUCUAGGUGCGCAGGCUUCAGGAGCUGUGGUGCGUGCAUGGGCUUAGUUGCCCCAUGGCAUGUGGAAUUUUCUUGGACCAGGGAUCCAACCUGUGCCUUCUGCAUUGGCAGGCGGAUUGUUAACCAUUGUGCCAUCAGGGAAGUUAAGUCCUCAGCUUUCUCUUUAAAAACCAGCAAAAAAGCUGACGCUAAUGAACCCGUGCAGCAAUCAGCUGAAGAGAACAGGCCCCCUUUGAAAAGGCAAAGCAUCCGUCUGUAAUUUGCCUCUGGUACAUCCGUUCAUACCACAUUUCUACUUCUAAUUUUAUUGCACAUUUUGUUAUCUUGGCAGACUACCUGCCCUUUCACAAAAAUGUUGUUUAGCAAGUAAACAAAAUAUAAAAACAUUACAAUUUACACUGCUGUAAAAUGCUGGAAUCAAGCAGCAAAUUAAGGGGCGAGUAGUGAAACCGAGCAGGGCCCUGUGGGGCUCCCUGGUGCCGGGGCUUUUCUGUCUUCAUUUCUUGUGGGCAAGACUCCAGCCUCCAUGGCCUUCCCUGAGUUCCAAAGGGCGGGUUCAAGGGAGGAACUGGUCCUCACAGGAGGAGCAGCCAAGAGACCACCUGAGGCAAGAUUAAAGGGACCAGAGAAGCUCAUCAAGAUUGGGAGACCCACCACCUGAGAGGGCUCCCCAGGUAGCCCUAGUGGUAAAGAACCUGCCUGCCAGUGCAGGAGAGAUAUAGGAUGAAGGUUAGAUCCCUGGGUGGGGACGAUCCCCUGGAGAAGGA
Long non-coding RNA from Bos taurus (domestic cattle), 1901 nucleotides. The record is from Ensembl. NCBI's taxonomy places the organism in Eukaryota, Metazoa, Chordata, Mammalia, Artiodactyla, Bovidae.